GAAAUCCGGAUUAAUACCGCAUACGCCCUACGAGGGAAAGGUGGCCUCUUCUUGAAAGCUACCGUUAUCGGAUGAGCCUGCGUCGGAUUAGCUAGUUGGUGGGGUAAAGGCCUACCAAGGCGACGAUCCGUAGCUGGUCUGAGAGGAUGAUCAGCCACACUAGGACUGAGACACGGCCCAGACUCCUACGGGAGGCAGCAGUGGGGAAUAUUGGACAAUGGGCGCAAGCCUGAUCCAGCCAUGCCGCGUGUGUGAAGAAGGCUUUCGGGUUGUAAAGCACUUUCAGCGGGGAGGAAAGGUUUAAGGUUAAUACCCUUGAGCCGUGACGUUACCCGCAGAAGAAGCACCGGCUAACUCCGUGCCAGCAGCCGCGGUAAUACGGAGGGUGCGAGCGUUAACCGGAAUUACUGGGCGUAAAGCGUGCGUAGGCGGUGAUUUAAGUGGGAUGUGAAAGCCCCGGGGCUCAACCUGGGAACUGCACCCCAAACUGGGUCACUAGAGUACAGCAAAGGAGUGUGGA
Molecule: ribosomal RNA, 520 nt
Filed under: uncultured bacterium
Lineage: Bacteria
Description: bacterial SSU rRNA
Rfam family: Bacterial small subunit ribosomal RNA
Source: RNAcentral